Molecule: transfer RNA, 63 nt
Filed under: Stenomorpha consobrina
Lineage: Eukaryota; Metazoa; Arthropoda; Insecta; Coleoptera; Tenebrionidae
Description: tRNA-Glu
Source: RNAcentral
AUUUAUAUAGUUUAAAAAAAACAUUACAUUUUCAUUGUAAAAUUAAAUAACUGUUUAUAAAUA